Monascus purpureus is the source of this 72-nucleotide non-coding RNA. The record is from the annotation of a GenBank genome assembly. Lineage: Eukaryota; Fungi; Ascomycota; Eurotiomycetes; Eurotiales; Aspergillaceae.
GGGCGUGUGGCUCAGUGGUAGAGCGUCCGUUUUGCAUACGGAAGGCCCCGCGUUCGAUCCGCGGCUCGUCCA